RNAcentral lists this ribosomal RNA (713 nucleotides) under uncultured Achromobacter sp. Its description in RNAcentral is "bacterial SSU rRNA". It matches the Rfam family "Bacterial small subunit ribosomal RNA", at positions 8 to 716 of the family's 1533-position model. The record is from RNAcentral. Lineage: Bacteria; Pseudomonadati; Pseudomonadota; Betaproteobacteria; Burkholderiales; Alcaligenaceae.
AGAGUUUGAUCCUGGCUCAGAUUGAACGCUAGCGGGAUGCCUUACACAUGCAAGUCGAACGGCAGCACGGACUUCGGUCUGGUGGCGAGUGGCGAACGGGUGAGUAAUGUAUCGGAACGUGCCCAGUAGCGGGGGAUAACUACGCGAAAGCGUAGCUAAUACCGCAUACGCCCUACGGGGGAAAGCAGGGGAUCGCAAGACCUUGCACUAUUGGAGCGGCCGAUAUCGGAUUAGCUAGUUGGUGGGGUAACGGCUCACCAAGGCGACGAUCCGUAGCUGGUUUGAGAGGACGACCAGCCACACUGGGACUGAGACACGGCCCAGACUCCUACGGGAGGCAGCAGUGGGGAAUUUUGGACAAUGGGGGAAACCCUGAUCCAGCCAUCCCGCGUGUGCGAUGAAGGCCUUCGGGUUGUAAAGCACUUUUGGCAGGAAAGAAACGUCAUGGGUUAAUACCCCGUGAAACUGACGGUACCUGCAGAAUAAGCACCGGCUAACUACGUGCCAGCAGCCGCGGUAAUACGUAGGGUGCAAGCGUUAAUCGGAAUUACUGGGCGUAAAGCGUGCGCAGGCGGUUCGGAAAGAAAGAUGUGAAAUCCCAGAGCUUAACUUUGGAACUGCAUUUUUAACUACCGGGCUAGAGUGUGUCAGAGGGAGGUGGAAUUCCGCGUGUAGCAGUGAAAUGCGUAGAUAUGCGGAGGAACACCGAUGGC